UACGGGGGGGGCAAGCGUUGUUCGGAAUUACUGGGCGUAAAGGGCUCGUAGGCGGCCAACUAAGUCGGAUGUGUAAUCCCCAGGCUCAACUUGGGAACUGCAUCCGAUACUGGAUGGCUUGAAUUCGGGAGAGGGAUGCAGAAUUCCAGGUGUAGCGGUGAAAUGCGUAGAUAUCGGGAAGAACAUCGGUGGCGAAGGCGCUCUGCUGGACCAUAACUGACACUCAGGGACGAAAGCUAGGGGAGCGAAUGGG
This 253-nucleotide ribosomal RNA is filed under the name uncultured bacterium. RNAcentral's name for it is "partial 16S ribosomal RNA". It matches the Rfam family "Bacterial small subunit ribosomal RNA", at positions 524 to 776 of the family's 1533-position model. The record is from RNAcentral.